GAAAUGCGAUAAGUAAUGUGAAUUGCAGAAUUCAGUGAAUCAUCGAAUCUUUGAACGCACAUUGCGCCCGCCAGUAUUCUGGCGGGCAUGCCUGUUCGAGCGUCAUUUCAACCAUCAAGCCCCCGGCUUGUGUUGGGGACCUGCGGCUGCCCGCAGGCCCUGAAAAACAGUGGCGGGCUCGCUGUCACACCGAGCGUAGUAGCAUACAUUCUCGCUCAGGGCGUGCUGCGGGUUCCGGCCGUUAACCGACCUUCAUAACCCAAGGUUGACCUCGGAUCAGGUAGGAAGACCCGCUGAACUUAAGC
This 305-nucleotide unclassified non-coding RNA is filed under the name plant metagenome. Its description in RNAcentral is "partial contains 5.8S ribosomal RNA, internal transcribed spacer 2, and large subunit ribosomal RNA". The stretch from base 1 to 105 matches the Rfam family "5.8S ribosomal RNA", at positions 50 to 154 of the family's 154-position model. The record is from RNAcentral.